UGCCAGCCGCCGCGGUAAUACGAAGGUGGCAAGCGUUGUUCGGAAUCACUGGGCAUAAAGCGCGCGUAGGCGGCUAAGUCAGUCGGAUGUGAAAUCCCUCAGCUCAACUGAGGAACUGCGUCCGAUACUGCUUGGCUUGAGGCCUGGAGGGGAGAGUGGAAUUCCUGGUGGAGCGGUGAAAUGCGUAGAGAUCAGGAGGAACGCCGGCGGCGAAAGCGACUCUCUGGGUCUCUUCUGACGCUGAGGGACGAAAGCUAGGGGAGCAAACAGGAUUGGAUA
Molecule: ribosomal RNA, 279 nt
Filed under: uncultured bacterium
Lineage: Bacteria
Description: partial 16S ribosomal RNA
Rfam family: Bacterial small subunit ribosomal RNA
Source: RNAcentral